RNAcentral lists this ribosomal RNA (883 nucleotides) under uncultured bacterium. RNAcentral describes it as "bacterial SSU rRNA". It matches the Rfam family "Bacterial small subunit ribosomal RNA", at positions 515 to 1398 of the family's 1533-position model. The record is from RNAcentral.
CCGCGGUAAUACGUAGGGUGCAAGCGUUAAUCGGAAUUACUGGGCGUAAAGCGUGCGCAGGUGGUUUUGUAAGUCAGAUGUGAAAUCCCCGGGCUUAACCUGGGAACUGCGUUUGAAACUGCAAGGCUAGAGUGUGGCAGAGGGGGGUGGAAUUCCGCGUGUAGCAGUGAAAUGCGUAGAUAUGUGGAGGAACACCGAUGGCGAAGGCAGCCCCCUGGGUCAGCACUGACGCUCAGGCACGAAAGCAUGGGGAGCAAACAGGAUUAGAUACCCUGGUAGUCCAUGCCCUAAACGAUGUCAACUAGUUGUCGGGUCUUAACGGGCUUGGUAACGUAGCUAACGCGUGAAGUUGACCGCCUGGGGAGUACGAUCGCAAGAUUAAAACUCAAAGGAAUUGACGGGGACCCGCACAAGCGGUGGAUUAUGUGGAUUAAUUCGAUGCAACGCGAAAAACCUUACCUACCCUUGACAUGUAUCGAAGCCCGCAGAGAUGUGGGUGUGCCCGAAAGGGAACGAUAACACAGGUGCUGCAUGGCUGUCGUCAGCUCGUGUCGUGAGAUGUUGGGUUAAGUCCCGCAACGAGCGCAACCCUUGUCAUUAAUUGCCAUCAUUUAGUUGGGCACUUUAAUGAGACUGCCGGUGACAAACCGGAGGAAGGUGGGGAUGACGUCAAGUCCUCAUGGCCCUUAUGGGUAGGGCUUCACACGUAAUACAAUGGCGCGUACAGAGGGUUGCCAACCCGCGAGGGGGAGCCAAUCUCAGAAAGCGUGUCGUAGUCCGGAUCGGAGUCUGCAACUCGACUCCGUGAAGUCGGAAUCGCUAGUAAUCGCGGAUCAGCAUGUCGCGGUGAAUACGUUCCCGGGUCUUGCACACACCGCCCGUC